AAAGAAGACCCUGUUGAGCUUGACUCUAGUCUGACUUUGUGAAGAGACAUGAGAGGUGUAGCAUAAGUGGGAGUUUAGGGACUCCUCUUGAUUAUAGUUUCGGCUGUAAUUAAGACCCCUUAACACCAAUGAAAUACCACUACUCUCAUCGUUUCUUUACUUACACGGUGAAAAGGAGAUUGAGAUAGUGUCUCUCUGUUUUUACUGGACUUCGGUUCAGUAGCAGGAGGCCACCUAUCUCUAAAUUCUAGAGCUAAAUGUGGUUCCAUCCAUAUAUGCUAAAGACACCUAAUUGAGACUUGUUCUUCGGGACUUGGAUUGAUUAAAGACUUUAGUUUGGUUGGUAGCAAGUGUUUAUCAGCAAUGAUAAACAUAACCACAUGAUCCUCGCCGUGGACAUUGUCAGGCGGGCAGUUUGACUGGGGCGGUACAUCUGUCAAAAGGUAACGCAGGUGUCCUAAGGCCAGCUCAGUGAGGCCAGAAACCUCACGUAGAGCAAAAGGGCAAAAGCUGGCUUGAUCCAGACUUUCAGUACGAAUACGGACCGCGAAAGCGGGGCCUAUCGAUCCUUUCGAUGAAUGAGAGUUUCAUCCGAGAGGUGUCAGAAAAGUUACCACAGGGAUAACUGGCUUGUGGCAGCCAAGCGUUCAUAGCGACGUUGCUUUUUGAUCCUUCGAUGUCG
RNAcentral lists this ribosomal RNA (682 nucleotides) under Oligonychus pustulosus. RNAcentral describes it as "eukaryotic LSU rRNA". It matches the Rfam family "Eukaryotic large subunit ribosomal RNA", at positions 2403 to 2886 of the family's 3401-position model. The record is from RNAcentral. Lineage: Eukaryota; Metazoa; Arthropoda; Arachnida; Trombidiformes; Tetranychidae.